RNAcentral lists this unclassified non-coding RNA (326 nucleotides) under soil metagenome. RNAcentral describes it as "partial contains 5.8S ribosomal RNA, internal transcribed spacer 2, and large subunit ribosomal RNA". The stretch from base 1 to 123 matches the Rfam family "5.8S ribosomal RNA", at positions 35 to 154 of the family's 154-position model. The record is from RNAcentral.
GAUGAAGAACGUAGCGAAAUGCGAUACGUAAUGUGAAUUGCAGAUCUCUCAGUGAACCAUCGAAUUUUUGAACGCACAUAGCGCCCGCCGGUCAUUCCGGCGGGCAUGCCUGUCCGAGCGUCAUUUCAACCCUCAAGCUCUGCUUGGUGUUGGGCCCUGCCCGCUGCGGCCGGCCCUAAAGACAGUGGCGGUGCCGCCUGGCCCUGAGCGUAGUACAUCUCUCGCUCCAGUGCCCGGUGGUAGCCUGCCAGAACCCCAACUCUCGUGGUUGACCUCGGAUCAGGUAGGGAUACCCGCUGAACUUAAGCAUAUCAAUAAGCGGAGGA